RNAcentral lists this long non-coding RNA (482 nucleotides) under Sorghum bicolor (sorghum). RNAcentral's name for it is "long non-coding RNA (SBIC_LNC009872)". Lineage: Eukaryota; Viridiplantae; Streptophyta; Magnoliopsida; Poales; Poaceae. The record is from RNAcentral.
CCGUUCCGCCUUGGAACCUCCGCCCGGGUUUUGAGGCCCAAACCCGCGAAAUCCGCCGCGAGUAGCGUACUCCAUACGCUUUCCCGCCACUCGACACGUGUCACCGCCGUCCUCGACUGGCCGGCCCGCUAAGUCCUCCUGAGCCUCGCUCGACUCGCGUCCGCCGUCUUGACUUGGUCAACACGGUCACUCCCACGUACACUUGCACUUGUCGAUGUUCCAGAUGUCAGCCACUACGGCUGGUCACCCGGCCUCCUGGUCCGUCAGUCCAAGCCUCACGUCCGUCCUUCACCGCUCCAGGUCCAUCAGCACGGCACGUCUCUACUUGACCUUCACCUCGCCGUCGACCACCGCCUCCGAGCUCCACAGCUGAACACCACAAGCCAAGAGACAUGUCGCACACAUAGCUUUCGCCAUGGUAAUGUUAGUCACCAACUCAACCUAUUCGUGGAUCACGUUGACAAUCACUCAUCACAAAACGA